CUACAAUGAUGUUAAGAUUUUUCCUCAACAGAGUUUACCACCUAGUGACUGUUGAUAACUUUGAGUCCAAGUGA
Molecule: small nucleolar RNA, 74 nt
Organism: Nannospalax galili (Upper Galilee mountains blind mole rat)
Lineage: Eukaryota; Metazoa; Chordata; Mammalia; Rodentia; Spalacidae
Product: small nucleolar RNA SNORD56
Exons: 1
Source: RefSeq, a predicted model, not a curated record